RNAcentral lists this ribosomal RNA (420 nucleotides) under uncultured bacterium. RNAcentral's name for it is "bacterial SSU rRNA". It matches the Rfam family "Bacterial small subunit ribosomal RNA", at positions 355 to 774 of the family's 1533-position model. The record is from RNAcentral.
UAAGGAAUAUUGCUCAAUGGGAGAAAUCCUGAAGCAGCAACGCCGCGUGGAGGAUGAAGGGUCUAUGACUUGUAAACUCCUGUAAAGAAGGAAAAAAUUCCCAUUUGAUGGGAGAUGAUGGUACUUCUGGAGUAAGCCCCGGCUAACUACGUGCCAGCAGCCGCGGUAAUACGUAGGGGGCAAGCGUUGUCCGGAUUUACUGGGUGUAAAGGGUGCUCAGGCGGAUUUGUAAGUCAGAGGUGAAAUCUUACAGUUUAACUGUGAAACUGCCUUUGAUACUGCAAGCCUAGAGUAUGGAAGAGAGUGAUGGAAUAGCUGGUGUAGCAGUGAAAUGCGUAGAUAUCAGAUAGAACACCAAUGGCGAAGGCAGUCACUUGGUCCAUUACUGACGCUAAAGCACGAAAGCGUGGGUAGCAAACA